Molecule: ribosomal RNA, 411 nt
Filed under: uncultured fungus
Lineage: Eukaryota; Fungi
Description: eukaryotic LSU rRNA
Rfam family: Eukaryotic large subunit ribosomal RNA
Source: RNAcentral
GGCAUCAAAGUAGUAGGACUACCCGCUGAACUUAAGCAUAUCAAUAAGCGGAGGAAAAGAAACUAACAAGGAUUCCCCUAGUAACUGCGAGUGAAGCGGGAAAAGCUCAAAUUUAAAAGCCUUCGGGCGUUGUAAUCUAAAGAAGUGUUUUCGGUCGUUGCCUCGGAUAAGUCUCUUGGAACAGAGUGUCAAAGAGGGUGAGAAUCCCGUUCUUGCCGAGCUACCAACGUCUAUGUGAUACACUUUCAAAGAGUCGAGUUGUUUGGGAAUGCAGCUCAAAAUGGGUGGUAAACUCCAUCUAAAGCUAAAUAUUGGCGAGAGACCGAUAGCGAACAAGUACCGUGAGGGAAAGAUGAAAAGCACUUUGGAAGGAGAGUUAAACAGUACGUGAAAUUGUUAAAAGGGAAACGC